CAUCUGAACACACACAUUACGCACAAAUAUUUUUUAUUUCCACACCAGGAAAAUACUUUCUGCUCCAUUGCAUUUACUGCAAAGACAAAAUGUGUGAUCGCGAGGCCAAGACCACGAUGGAAGAGGGAAAAGAGGAAGGAGGUGAAGAAGGUGAAAAGGUAAGACAUUUUAGAACUUAAUGUGUGCUUUAAACUGGGCUGCCCCUCUUGCUGAUUCAGUCAUUUUAAAGUGCUUGUAUCGACUUCCCAUUAACCAGGGAGAAAAGGGACAUGGAAGAGGAGGACAACAUGGAAGAGGAGGAGAACAUGGAAGAGGAGGAGGACGUGGAAGAGGAGGAGAACAUGGAAGAGGAGAAGAAGAACAAGGGAAAGGACGUGGAAAAUGAGAAGAACAUGGAAAAGGACAUCAGAAAUAAGAGCAGAAUUCCUAAAACUUCCAUUCUGCGAUAAUGCUUGUAAAGAAUGAAAUACAUAUUCAAUAAAUCAAUUCAGAAAAAAUA
This is a long non-coding RNA of Trematomus bernacchii (emerald rockcod), 499 nucleotides long. RefSeq lists it as uncharacterized. NCBI's taxonomy places the organism in Eukaryota, Metazoa, Chordata, Actinopteri, Perciformes, Nototheniidae. The transcript is spliced from 4 exons. The record is from RefSeq and is a predicted model, not a curated record.